GAGGGUGUAGCUCAGUGGUAGAGUGCAUGAUUAGCAUGCAUGAGGUCCUGGGUUCAAUUCCUGGUACCUCCA
This 72-nucleotide transfer RNA is filed under the name Camelus bactrianus (Bactrian camel). It matches the Rfam family "tRNA". Rfam says of the family: Transfer RNA (tRNA) molecules are approximately 80 nucleotides in length. Their secondary structure includes four short double-helical elements and three loops (D, anti-codon, and T loops). The record is from Rfam by way of RNAcentral. Lineage: Eukaryota; Metazoa; Chordata; Mammalia; Artiodactyla; Camelidae. RNAcentral also lists the same sequence under 2 other names.